RNAcentral lists this ribosomal RNA (496 nucleotides) under uncultured bacterium. RNAcentral describes it as "partial 16S ribosomal RNA". It matches the Rfam family "Bacterial small subunit ribosomal RNA", at positions 29 to 507 of the family's 1533-position model. The record is from RNAcentral.
AUGCACGCUGGCGGCGUGCCUAAUACAUGCCAGUCGAGCGAACAGACGAGGAGCUUGCCCCUCUGACGUUAGCGGCGGACGGGUGAGUAACACGUGGAUAACCUACCUAUAAGACUGGGAUAACUUCGGGAAACCGGAGCUAAUACCGGAUAAUAUAUUGAACCGCAUGGUUCAAUAGUGAAAGACGGUUUUGCUGUCACUUAUAGAUGGAUCCGCGCCGCAUUAGCUAGUUGGUAAGGUAACGGCUUACCAAGGCGACGAUGCGUAGCCGACCUGAGAGGGUGAUCGGCCACACUGGAACUGAGACACGGUCCAGACUCCUACGGGAGGCAGCAGUAGGGAAUCUUCCGCAAUGGGCGAAAGCCUGACGGAGCAACGCCGCGUGAGUGAUGAAGGUCUUCGGAUCGUAAAACUCUGUUAUUAGGGAAGAACAAAUGUGUAAGUAACUAUGCACGUCUUGACGGUACCUAAUCAGAAAGCCACGGCUAACUACGUG